RNAcentral lists this RNase P RNA (325 nucleotides) under uncultured Pseudoramibacter sp. RNAcentral describes it as "Bacterial RNase P class A". It matches the Rfam family "Bacterial RNase P class A". From Rfam's summary of the family: Ribonuclease P (RNase P) is a ubiquitous endoribonuclease, found in archaea, bacteria and eukarya as well as chloroplasts and mitochondria. Its best characterised activity is the generation of mature 5'-ends of tRNAs by cleaving the 5'-leader elements of precursor-tRNAs. Cellular RNase Ps are ribonucleoproteins. The record is from RNAcentral. Lineage: Bacteria; Bacillati; Bacillota; Clostridia; Eubacteriales; Eubacteriaceae.
CAGAUGAUCGCGGAGCAUGUCUCUGAGGAAAGUCCGAGCUCCACAGGGCAGGAUGCCGGAUAACGUCCGGUAAAGGUGACUUUAAGGCAAGUGCAACAGAAAGCAAACCGCCGAUUUUUCGGUAAGGGUGAAACGGUGAGGUAAGAGCUCACCAGUGGCUGAAGUAAUUCGCCAGCUGGGUAAACCCCAUUUGGAGCAAGACCAAGAACGAGCGCAAAAAGGCGGCGGCCCGUCGCUGCUCAACAGGUAGGUCGCUUAAGUUUGCUGGCAACAGCAAAAUCAGAUAGAUGAUCAUUUAAACAGAACUCGGCUUACAGAUCUAAUC